ACUGCCUCUUCUGCUUCUAGGAUGGCCGGGGUCACUGCAGUGCUGGUGCUGGUAGCCUGUUGGGCAGGUUCCACCUACCAGUUCACUUUGACUCAGCCAUCCAGCGCGUCAGUAGCUCCAGGACAAACUGUCAAACUGGCACGUGUUACAAGCAGCGGAAGCAGCAUCACUGAUCGUGUUGUACGCUGGUACCAGCAGAAGCCAGGGGAGAAGCCAAGAUAUCUGCUGUAUUACAGGGAUGAAUCUACAAAUCACAAAGGCUCUGGGGUCCCCAAUCGGUUUUCAGCUUCUAAAAGCACUUCCAAGAACACCUGCUUCUUAACCAUUGCCCAGGUCCAAGCAGAGGAUGAGGCUGAGUACUAUUGUUCUGACUGGGAUGGUUCCUCUAACCAGUACACAGUAGAAGAGCUGCAUGAAGUGGAGGAACAAAAACUCAUCCUCACCCCUGGCUGA
This is a non-coding RNA of Alligator mississippiensis (American alligator), 453 nucleotides long. The record is from the annotation of a RefSeq genome assembly. NCBI's taxonomy places the organism in Eukaryota, Metazoa, Chordata, Crocodylia, Alligatoridae.